CUUGUGCCCGCAGUUUCGCAAAGUCGCGGACGCACCCAGCCGGCCGAGCAGGGUUGUUGAGAUCCCCGCCUCACCCCACGGCCCCGGUGGACGGAUGGGUAGACGGAGGCGCGCGGUGUGGGUCAGGUUGGGACGGCGGCACACCUCCUACACGCCCUCGGCCCUACCCCUCCGGAGGCCGUCCACGAUAAUCCAAUCUGAACGUUCCCUCCGCUACCACUCAUCCCCAGAUCCGCCUGAAAAGUAAACCGACUUGGAGAAGAACCUAGGGUGGCAGCUGGGGGUGGGGGCUGGGAUGACCUGUGCUGCCUGGAUGGCUCUGGGGUGAAGAUGAUGGUGAAGGCCCCUCUUCCGCCACAGGUAGAGGGGGCCAGGAGGAGUCAGCCCACCCUUUUCCUUUCCUUGGAGGAACAAUGGGAGAAAAGCAGAAAAGCAUCUCCCUGUCCUGGGAUGGGCUCACCAGAUGUUGCCCAGAUGUUGCUGGUGAAGGGAAACAUCUCCCUCUGGGAUCCCAAGUUCCGCGGGAUCUCCAUCUCAUGGAGAAUGGAAGCUCAGAGGGACAGAUUGACUUGUCUGAAUUAUGGUGGCACAAACAAGACCCGAAGCAGCAGUAUGCUGGUAGUAAAUGUUUAACAACCAGUUCUCUGGGCUUAAAAAAAAAAAAAAAGAAGUUAUGAUUUGCAGUGUUUGCCAAUUUCCAUGGUGUAAAUUCUCCCACCAUUAGCUGGUUUCAAGCUACUGGCACUGGGAGUGAAAUUGGAAGAGGUGUGCACACUCUCUGGGCAGCUGUGGCUCCGGUACACCACCGAGCGCAGGCUGCCAGCCCAGGACCUCUGUUCUGAGGAGAUGAUGGAGACAGCGUGUGCAAUGAGGGAUGGUCAGGGGAGCCUUCCAGAUUUCUUCUGUGAGAUACAGACUGCACUGUGGAAAAGUCGUUUUGCCCAUUCACUCGUGCUGUUUACUGAACUACACAGACACUGUUCUAGUCACGGAUCAUGAGUGGCAAAUAAUACAGACAAGGUCUCUGCUCUCCUGGAAUUUUCUUUCUGGCAGGACAGAGACAGAGGGACUCAAAGGCUAGGGCACAGUGAGAAGUUUCAGUUAAUCUAAGAGUGGGAGAUGGAGAGUGAAGUGCAGCCCAGACUGAGCAUGUCACAGGCAAUCCCCAAGAGGCGAGAUGGGCUGGUGGCUCCCCUCCCUCUUCUGGCCCUUCCUUUUGGGGUUGGGGGAUCGUAAGCCUGUUAGAUUGGGAGUAGCCCCUCCCAGCCCAACAAAGCAGCCCCAGGAAGGAGGGGACACAGGUUUCCCAGUGGCACCUCCACCAACCCCUCCUCUCCUCUUCCAUCCCUCCACCUGUUGAGAAUCUGCCUCCUGAAGUUGGCCUGAGGCGCCUGAGAGUGUGGUUCCCCUGGGACCCUUACGUGGGUCCCCAUCCUCAGGAUCUGCAACAGAGACAAGAAUCAGUGCACAAUCCUGAAAUAAUUUCCACUGGGAGCCGAUUCUUAACCGAAAAGAAGAAAAAAAAAAAAAAGCUUCUCAUCCAAAGGAUUCUGGGCUCUGCUGAGAAAUACCUUCUGAAAAGCACAACUUCAUCAGAAAGAGAAUUAUGAGGAAUCACUCUCUUCCAAGAUGACAACAUCCAAGCUUGUACGGUUUCAUCAAGGAAGGGGAUUUAUUUUUGAUAUACAAGAUUGAGAAUCUUAAAGCAGGACAUGUAAAAUUAUUGAAAAGAUACUGAGACAUGGAAGAGU
Long non-coding RNA from Hipposideros armiger (great roundleaf bat), 1751 nucleotides. RefSeq lists it as uncharacterized. The transcript is spliced from 4 exons. Lineage: Eukaryota; Metazoa; Chordata; Mammalia; Chiroptera; Hipposideridae. The record is from RefSeq and is a predicted model, not a curated record.